Molecule: unclassified non-coding RNA, 376 nt
Filed under: uncultured Actinomycetes bacterium
Lineage: Bacteria; Bacillati; Actinomycetota; Actinomycetes
Description: uncultured actinobacterium contains 16S-23S intergenic spacer region
Source: RNAcentral
UCCGAGUUGACCCCGGCAGUCUCCGAUGAGUCCCCGGCAUAACCCGCUGGCAACAUCGGACAAGGGUUGCGCUCGUUGCGGGACUUAACCCAACAUCUCACGACACGAGCUGACGACAGCCAUGCACCACCUGUGACCGCCCCCGAAGGACACCACAUCUCUGUGGUUUCAGCGGCCAUGUCAAACCCAGGUAAGGUUCUUCGCGUUGCGUCGAAUUGAACCACAUGCUCCGCUGCUUGUGCGGGUCCCCGUCAAUUCCUUUGAGUUUUAGCCUUGCGGCCGUACUCCCCAGGCGGGGCACUUAAUGCGUUAGCGUCGGCACUCAGAGGGUCGCUCCCCCAAGCACCUAGUGCCCAUCGUUUACGGCGUGGACUAC